This 21-nucleotide unclassified non-coding RNA is filed under the name Mus musculus (house mouse). RNAcentral's name for it is "oocyte_clustered_small_RNA11612". Lineage: Eukaryota; Metazoa; Chordata; Mammalia; Rodentia; Muridae. The record is from RNAcentral.
UCAGCACAGGUAGCCAGAUAC